Molecule: ribosomal RNA, 440 nt
Filed under: uncultured bacterium
Lineage: Bacteria
Description: partial 16S ribosomal RNA
Rfam family: Bacterial small subunit ribosomal RNA
Source: RNAcentral
CCUACGGGAGGCAGCAGUGGGGGAUAUUGCACAAUGGGGGAAACCCUGAUGCAGCGACGCCGCGUGAGUGAAGAAGUAUUUCGGUAUGUAAAGCUCUAUCAGCAGGGAAGAAAAUGACAGUACCUGACCAAGAAGCCCCGGCUAACUACGUGCCAGCAGCCGCGGUAAUACGUAGGGGGCAAGUGUUACACGGAUUUACUGGGUGUAAAGGGAGCGUAGGCGGUUAUGUAAGUCUGGAGUGAAAGCCCGGGGCGCAACCCCGGGACUGCGUUGGAAACUGUGUAACUGGAGUACAGGAGGGGCAGGCGGAAUUCCUGGUGUAGCCGUGAAAUGCGUAGAUAUCAGGAGGAACACCGGCGGCGAAGGCGGCCUGCUGGACUGAAACUGACGUUGAGGCUCGAAAGCGUGGGGAGCGAACAGGAUUAGAUACCCCUGUAGUC